This 228-nucleotide long non-coding RNA is filed under the name Mytilus galloprovincialis (Mediterranean mussel). The record is from RNAcentral. Lineage: Eukaryota; Metazoa; Mollusca; Bivalvia; Mytilida; Mytilidae.
AAACGUGGAACAAGGACAAAUAUUUAUCGAGAGAAAAACUUAUAGUUAUUUUGUGUUGUCGUUUGUUAGGUCGGAUUUCCUUCAAUUUAACAAAUAUUGAACAAAAUCAAUCCACUUAACAACAGCAAUGUGAAGGACUGAGUGAUGUUUUCAUAUGGUGGGCAUUUGUGAAUAUUUCAUGUAUAAUUCAAACUGGAGGUUCCAAAGUGAAAAUGUUUCAUGAUCUUU